GAUGAAGAACGCAGCGAAAUGCGAUAAGUAAUGCGAAUUGCAGAAUCCGUGAGUCAUCGAAUCUUUGAACGCACAUUGCGCCCGCCAGUAUUCUGGCGGGCAUGCCUGUCUGAGCGUCAUUUCAACCCUCACGCCCCUAGGGCGUGGUGUUGGGGAUCGGCCAGCGCCCUCGCGGGCGAGGCCGUCCCCUAAAUCUAGUGGCGGACCCGUCGUGGCCUCCCCUGCGAAGUAGUGAUAUUCCGCAUAGGAGAGCGACGAGCCCCUGCCGUUAAACCCCCAACUUUCUCAGGUUGACCUCAGAUCAGGUAGGAAUACCCGCUGAACUUAAGCAUAUCAAUAAGCGGAGGA
Molecule: unclassified non-coding RNA, 348 nt
Filed under: soil metagenome
Description: partial contains 5.8S ribosomal RNA, internal transcribed spacer 2, and large subunit ribosomal RNA
Rfam family: 5.8S ribosomal RNA (bases 1-119)
Source: RNAcentral